RNAcentral lists this ribosomal RNA (331 nucleotides) under uncultured eukaryote. Its description in RNAcentral is "partial 18S ribosomal RNA". It matches the Rfam family "Eukaryotic small subunit ribosomal RNA", at positions 1470 to 1796 of the family's 1831-position model. The record is from RNAcentral.
CCCUUAGAUGUUCUGGGCCGCACGCGCGCUACACUGACGAAGUCAGCGAGCAUGUCCUACGCCGACAGGUGCGGGGAAUCUUGUCAAACUUCGUCGUGAUGGGGAUUGAUUAUUGAAAUUCUUGAUCAUCAACGAGGAAUUCCUAGUAAGCGCAAGUCAGCAGCUUGCGUUGAUCACGUCCCUGCCCUUUGUACACACCGCCCGUCGCUACUACCGAUUGAAUGGUUUAGUGAGAUCUUCGGAUUGGCGCCACUGCGGCUCAGCAAUGGGCUCGGUGGAUGCCGAAAAGUUGAUCAAACUUGAUCAUUUAGAGGAAGUAAAAGUCGUAACA